GACGAACGCUGGCGGCGUGCUUAACACAUGCAAGUCGAACGGAAAGGCCCUGCUUUUGUGGGGUGCUCGAGUGGCGAACGGGUGAGUAACACGUGAGUAACCUGCCUUUGACUUUGGGAUAACUUCAGGAAACUGGGGCUAAUACCGGAUAGGAGCUCCUGCUGCAUGGUGGGGGUUGGAAAGUUUCGGCGGUUGGGGAUGGACUCGCGGCUUAUCAGCUUGUUGGUGGGGUAGUGGCUUACCAAGGCUUUGACGGGUAGCCGGCCUGAGAGGGUGACCGGCCACAUUGGGACUGAGAUACGGCCCAGACUCCUACGGAGGCAGCAGUGGGGAAUAUUGCACAAUGGGCGGAAGCCUGAUGCAGCAACGCCGCGUGCGGGAUGACGGCCUUCGGGUUGUAAACCGCUUUCGCCUGUGACGAAGCGUGAGUGACGGUAAUGGGUAAAGAAGCACCGGCUAACUACGUG
Molecule: ribosomal RNA, 467 nt
Filed under: uncultured bacterium
Lineage: Bacteria
Description: partial 16S ribosomal RNA
Rfam family: Bacterial small subunit ribosomal RNA
Source: RNAcentral